Molecule: ribosomal RNA, 1341 nt
Filed under: Tribolium castaneum (red flour beetle)
Lineage: Eukaryota; Metazoa; Arthropoda; Insecta; Coleoptera; Tenebrionidae
Description: eukaryotic LSU rRNA
Rfam family: Eukaryotic large subunit ribosomal RNA
Source: RNAcentral
UAGGAUUUCCUUAGUAGCGGCGAGCGAACAGGAAAAAGCCCAGCACUGAAUCCCGCGGCCGAAACCGGACGCCGGGAAAUGUGGUGUUAGGGAGGAUCCGUCAUCCCGAGAUUGUGCGACGCGUCCAAGUCCAUCUUGAACGGGGCCACAGCCCAUAGAGGGUGCCAGGCCCGUAGUGACCGUUGCCGAUAACGGGAGGAUCUCUCCUCAGAGUCGGGUUGCUUGAGAGUGCAGCCCUAAGUGGGUGGUAAACUCCAUCUAAGGCUAAAUAUGACCACGAGACCGAUAGCGAACAAGUACCGUGAGGGAAAGUUGAAAAGAACUUUGAAGAGAGAGUUCAAUAGUACGUGAAACCGUUCAGGGGUAAACCUGAGAAACCCGAAAGGUCGAAAGGGGAGAUUCAGCGUGACUCGAUAGCGGCGCUAAAUGAUCGUGCGACGAACGGCGUACGCGUCGUUCGCGCCUUUUGUUUAUGCGAACCGAAGUCGAACGCGUGCACUUCUCCCCCAGUAGGACGUCGCGAUCCUUUGGGUGUCGAUCUAAGGCCCGCGGUGGAGCCCGUUCGAACGGUUCGCCGUUUCGGACGAACCCGCGGUGUUUCCCGGUCGACUCGCUCGAAGGUAUGCAUAUGGCGCCGGGCCGCUACACAGUUAGCGUCCGACCAUUGGCAAGCGCGUUCGUUUAUGACGGUAAUCGCACCUGGUGUCGGUUCUGUCUACGAAUGGCUGUUCGCCAAUGAGUUCUCGGACAGACUCGGUUGAAACGCCGAUCUGCGACGCUAUAGCUUUGGGUACUUUCAGGACCCGUCUUGAAACACGGACCAAGGAGUCUAGCAUGUGCGCGAGUCAUUGGGACAUGACUAAACCUAAAGGCGCAAUGAAAGUGAAAGUUCGUCUUGCACGGACUAAGGGAAGAUGGGCGGCCGUUACGGCUGUCGCCCCGCACUCCCGGGGCGUCUCAUUCUCAUUGCGAGAAGAGGCGCACCAAGAGCGUACACGCUGGGACCCGAAAGAUGGUGAACUAUGCCUGGUCAGGACGAAGUCAGGGGAAACCCUGAUGGAGGUCCGUAGCGAUUCUGACGUGCAAAUCGAUCGUCGGAACUGGGUAUAGGGGCGAAAGACUAAUCGAACCAUCUAGUAGCUGGUUCCCUCCGAAGUUUCCCUCAGGAUAGCUGGCGCUCGUCGCUUACGAGUUUCAUCCGGUAAAGCGAAUGAUUAGAGGCAUUGGGGUCGAAACGGCCUCAACCUAUUCUCAAACUUUAAAUGGGUGAGAUCUCCGGCUUGCUCGAACUUUAUAUGAAGCCGCGAGACUCGAAUCAGAGUGCCAAGUGGGCCAUUUUUG